Non-coding RNA from Salmo salar (Atlantic salmon), 320 nucleotides. The record is from RefSeq and is a predicted model, not a curated record. Lineage: Eukaryota; Metazoa; Chordata; Actinopteri; Salmoniformes; Salmonidae.
ACUGCUGCCUCCUAAAGCGUUUUUCUCUUUCACCAGGUGGUGACGGGUGACAGUGGUGUCACAGACGUGGACCAUAAGGCCAAGCUUGUCUACGAGGACGCGUCCUCUGAUGAAGACAAGGCUUCAGGCGAUGAAGGUCUUCCAGACGAAGAUUCUGAUAACUGGGAGGAGGAUGAGGCUAUGGAAGAUGAGGAUAGAGAAGAAGAGACGGAAGGCAUGAGGACGGAAUCCAAAGCUAACGGUGAUUCCGACAUGGAACCGGGAAACGAGAGCGAGGAAGAGUGAUGCUCUUCAAAGGAAAUGAUCUCAAAAUGAACACA